CUCCCAAACCCCUGUGAACAUACCUGAACGUUGCUUCGGCGGGACCGCCCCGGCGCCCUCAGCGGCCCGGAACCAGGCGCCCGCCGGAGGACCCAAACUCUUGCUUCAAUUAGUGGCAUUCUCUGAGUCUCACAAACAAAAAUAAAUCAAAACUUUCAACAACGGAUCUCUUGGCUCUGGCAUCGAUGAAGAACGCAGCGAAAUGCGAUAAGUAAUGUGAAUUGCAGAAUUCAGUGAAUCAUCGAAUCUUUGAACGCACAUUGCGCCCGCCAGUAUUCUGGCGGGCAUGCCUGUUCGAGCGUCAUUUCAACCCUCAAGCCCCCUAGGGGGCUUGGUGUUGGGGACCGGCCCGCCCCUCGCGGCGGCCGCCGCCCCCGAAAUGCAGUGGCGACCUCGCCGCAGCCUCCCCUGCGUAGUAGCACAACCUCGCACCGGAGCGCGGAGACGGUCACGCCGUAAAACGCCCAACUUUCUUAGAGUUGACCUCGGAUCAGGUAGGAAUACCCGCUGAACUUAAGCAUAUCAAUAAGCGGAGGAAAAGAAACCAACAGGGAUUGCCCCAGUAACGGCGAGUGAAGCGGCAACAGCUCAAAUUUGAAAUCUGGCCCCCAGGGCCCGAGUUGUAAUUUGCAGAGGAUGCUUUUGGCGCGGUGCCUUCCGAGUUCCCUGGAACGGGACGCCAUAGAGGGUGAGAGCCCCGUCUGGUCGGACACCAAGCCAGUGUAAAGCUCCUUCGACGAGUCGAGUAGUUUGGGAAUGCUGCUCUAAAUGGGAGGUAUAUGUCUUCUAAAGCUAAAUACCGGCCAGAGACCGAUAGCGCACAAGUAGAGUGAUCGAAAGAUGAAAAGCACUUUGAAAAGAGGGUUAAACAGUACGUGAAAUUGUUGAAAGGGAAGCGUUUAUGACCAGACUUGGGCCCGGUGAAUCAUCCAGCGUUCUCGCUGGUGCACUUUGCCGGGCUCAGGCCAGCAUCAGUUCGUCGCGGGGGACAAAAGCUUCGGGAACGUGGCUCCCUCGGGAGUGUUAUAGCCCGUUGCAUAAUACCCUGCGGUGGACUGAGG
This 1061-nucleotide ribosomal RNA is filed under the name Hypocreales sp. B1b0852P152CC66. RNAcentral's name for it is "eukaryotic LSU rRNA". The stretch from base 481 to 1061 matches the Rfam family "Eukaryotic large subunit ribosomal RNA", at positions 1 to 591 of the family's 3401-position model. The record is from RNAcentral. Lineage: Eukaryota; Fungi; Ascomycota; Sordariomycetes; Hypocreales.